RNAcentral lists this ribosomal RNA (344 nucleotides) under uncultured Methanosaeta sp. RNAcentral describes it as "bacterial SSU rRNA". It matches the Rfam family "Archaeal small subunit ribosomal RNA", at positions 996 to 1338 of the family's 1478-position model. Lineage: Archaea; Methanobacteriati; Methanobacteriota; Methanomicrobia; Methanotrichales; Methanotrichaceae. The record is from RNAcentral.
GGCCGUCGUCAGUUCGUACUGUGAAGCAUCCUGUUAAGUCAGGCAACGAGCGAGACCCACGCCCACAGUUGCCAGCGUACUCUCUGGAGUGACGGGUACACGUGUGGGGACCGCCGCUGCUAAAGCGGAGGAAGGAAUGGGCAACGGUAGGUCAGUAUGCCCCGAAUAUCCCGGGCUACACGCGAGCUACAAUGGUUGGUACAAUGGGUAUCUACCCCGAAAGGGGACGGGAAUCUCCUAAAACCAAUCUUAGUUCGGAUUGAGGGCUGCAACUCGCCCUCAUGAAGCUGGAAUCCGUAGUAAUCGCGUUUCAACAGAACGCGGUGAAUACGUCCCUGCUCCUU